This 178-nucleotide non-coding RNA is filed under the name Lachnospiraceae bacterium. RNAcentral describes it as "6S RNA". It matches the Rfam family "6S / SsrS RNA". From Rfam's summary of the family: E. coli 6S RNA was the first non coding RNA to be sequenced, but its function was unknown until recently. It consists of 184 nucleotides that fold into an extended hairpin structure with a large single-stranded internal bulge. The 6S RNA specifically associates with RNA polymerase holoenzyme containing the sigma70 specificity factor. Lineage: Bacteria; Bacillati; Bacillota; Clostridia; Lachnospirales; Lachnospiraceae. The record is from RNAcentral.
UCAUUCCUGGGGUGUGCGACAACUCCUGUGUUUUUGAACCUACAACUUUAAAAAGGGAUUCCUAUAUUGGUAAGUGGAUGUCAAGCCUCCUCCGAGUGGACGGCAGAAGCUUACUUGCGGUCACCCACCUAGCUUGAGCUAGGAGUCAAGAAGCAGGAAACGGCAUUCCGGGAAUCAA